GCUGUGUUAAGUCUCGCUCUGCCCCACACUCCUUCUCCACCACCCAAUUAAACAGCUCGUUUGGGGAGGAGAGCAGGUCUCUAGGCUUGGAUGCUGCCCGUUCCCAGGAACAGAAUGAGGAAAUCACUGUCCCCAGCAAUACGGCCAUCAAUCAUUACAGAGGUACUGUAGGAGCUCCAAUUAGUAACAGUUUCUUUGAAGAAAGUGAAUGUCCUGCAUAUCAGUAAGAAAAUGUUGAGAAACACCUCCAGUUCAUGGAGAAUCACCAUGUUAUAGCAUCCUUUCCCAUAGUAUGGAGGGGGGAAAGUGUGCAAAAAAAAAAAAGCCAGAGGACAGGCUCUGAAUCAUGUUCUCUGCAUCUAAUGACCUCAUUGUAAGAUGUUCAAGGGCAUGCCUGAAGGAGGGAAGCUGGAAGAACAUCUAUUCUUCUGGAAGAAAUGGUGCAACAACCCACGCCUCGCCAGCACACCCAUGGACCCCCUGGGAUAAGGGUGGCUGGCAGUGUGUGUGCUUUGAGUCACAAAAGCUCACAUUGGUGGGUUUCAGUCUUGAGAAUACUGGG
This 562-nucleotide long non-coding RNA is filed under the name Gallus gallus (chicken). RNAcentral describes it as "lncRNA (ENSGALG00010015592.1)". The record is from RNAcentral. Lineage: Eukaryota; Metazoa; Chordata; Aves; Galliformes; Phasianidae.